RNAcentral lists this ribosomal RNA (311 nucleotides) under Shewanella frigidimarina. RNAcentral's name for it is "bacterial SSU rRNA". It matches the Rfam family "Bacterial small subunit ribosomal RNA", at positions 24 to 329 of the family's 1533-position model. The record is from RNAcentral. Lineage: Bacteria; Pseudomonadati; Pseudomonadota; Gammaproteobacteria; Alteromonadales; Shewanellaceae.
UCAGAUUGAACGCUGGCGGCAGGCCUAACACAUGCAAGUCGAGCGGUAACACAAGGGAGCUUGCUCCUGAGGUGACGAGCGGCGGACGGGUGAGUAAUGCCUAGGGAUCUGCCCAGUCGAGGGGGAUAACAGUUGGAAACGACUGCUAAUACCGCAUACGCCCUACGGGGGAAAGGAGGGGACCUUCGGGCCUUCCGCGAUUGGAUGAACCUAGGUGGGAUUAGCUAGUUGGUGAGGUAAUGGCUCACCAAGGCGACGAUCCCUAGCUGUUCUGAGAGGAUGAUCAACCACACUGGGACUGAGACAUUAAG